UUGCCUAAUACAUCGUACCCAAUCCGAUAGUCAUUCGGCAGGCGCGGGAGCAAAAAAUCACUCGAUAACAUCAAACAGUACUACGUCAAGUUCCGCAACCAGGACGAGAAAUUGUGUGAUUACCGUCGGACAAGCGAUCAUUUUCUGUCAUAUGAUGUAUAGGACAGUUGUAAACGUCCAAGUAAACUUAUUUUCAGAACUGUUAAUCGAUCGAAACAGGUACGAAAAACGGCCGGUUGGUUGACCUGCAGGAUGUCCCAGGAUGGUCACUCGGUAGCGGUACUGUCCGGUAAUCUAACGGUGGAGCAACGGUUGGAACGAACGUUUUGUCCAGGGGUAAGUUCCACCACUUGAUUCUGGCUACAGCACCAGGUUACGGAGAGAUUCUUUCGUCUUAGGUAUCGACGUCGAACAGGUGACCAUUGUCGUCAACUUCGACCUGCCGAUGGAUUAGCAGGGACGAGCCGAUUGCGAAACGUAUCUACAUCGAAUUAGACGCACCGGUAGAUUCGAACGGAAUCACCAUCAACCUAGUGGGCAGUGAUCGAAACAUGAUGAUUUGCAGAUCAAUCAAAAAACACUUCCGGAAAAAGAUUCAGUUGCUAGACGCGGAGAACUCGGACGAAAUUGAAAAGAUCGCACCGUAAAGUGUUUUCGACCAGCUACUGGUCAUACUUGUUUUGAUUCUGAAUUUAUAAUUUUAUAUUUUUUUAAUUUACAAAUGUAACCAACAGGGUAUCGCAAGCUAAUAAAUUUACAAUUACAAUUACAAUCUCUA
Long non-coding RNA from Topomyia yanbarensis, 778 nucleotides. RefSeq lists it as uncharacterized. NCBI's taxonomy places the organism in Eukaryota, Metazoa, Arthropoda, Insecta, Diptera, Culicidae. The transcript has 2 exons. The record is from RefSeq and is a predicted model, not a curated record.